CCAUUUUGAAAUUUAAAAUUUUGCAAAGUACUUUAUGUAGUUUUCCAUUUGAAUGUCAUGACAACCCUGGGAGAUAGGUACUGUGAAGAUUAAAUUAACUCUCCCCUGCCCAUUUUUAGAUUUAAUCACCAAAACCAUAUACACCUCACUUACACUUGAGGGGGGAUUUCUGUGACCCAUGUGUGAGAUGGUGGGUGAUGAAUCAGAAUCAAGUGAGUGCCCCUUGGGCACUCCUAUGCAAAGCUUUAGCUGUAACUGGUACAUGUAAAAUGGAAGGAAGUCACAGGAAGUGAGGAAAAGGAAUGGUCUUUAAAAAUGCCAAGAACUUCCUAUAAAGGGCCUUUCUGUCUAGCACCUUCAACUUGACUUUGGAGGAGCUCUGACUGAGGAUCUCAGACUGCUUCUAUUUUUCUUAAAACUACCAUGUGGGGUGAGUGAAAAAGUCUGACUCCUUUCUUGGAUUUUCUGAAGGGACUAGCCUCAGGAGAUGCCUCCCCUUGAGAGACACUUCAUGCAUCCCCAGGUCCUCAGCUCAAGGCUGAGGCCCCUCUAUCUAAGGGCUAAUUAACCCUACGUGGAUUGAGCCAGGGGUUGAAGCAAAAUAUUUAGUGGGUAGGUUGGAUAUCUUACCAUAUUCUCUCUCUGAUUUUCUUUUCUUAUUUCACUCUUUCAAUAUUUUUAAAAAUAAAUUGUUAAAAUAAAUCUCUUUGGAAUUUGACUAAAUUCCUGGUGACCCUACUCCUAUAUAAUCCAGUACAACCUUUUAUAUUAACCGCUCACAUUUCUACCCCUUACAGUACUAUGGGAAUUGUCAUCCUCCAUUCACCAAAGGUGGUGGUGGGGAAGGAACCUAAGUCUCAAUGAAUUUGUGAACCACCCAGUGUAUCAUAAUGAAUUGAUGAAUGUUAAUGAAUGGAACGAUUGCAACCCAGCCCUCUCUUGAAUUUGAGUUCAAUUCUUGAACUCUUUCAUCUAUACCGUUAUUUUUUACCAUACUUAUUUUACAGAUAAGAAAAAUAAAGUUGAACAAAGCAACAUCAAUAAUUCAUCCACAUUUUAAAAUACAAGAAAAGGAAGUAUGGAAAUAUUUUUCAAGUGAGAAAACUGAUAUUCAGAAGACCAAAAGCAAUGCAAUUGAUAAAGGGAAACCUGAUAUCUUCUAUGGAGCAUAUAAGACAAAGAGGAGAGAAAUUCCAUCUUCCAGGCAAUUCCUAUGGACUAAAUCAUUUAAAUGAAGUGCUGAAAAGGCAAGUCAGUAGGUGGCCCAUGCUGCCCUUCUGAUCCAUUUUUUUUCUCUCUCUCCUUACUUCUAGAUAUGAUUGUGGUUAGGAAGGAAUCUCUCUUCCACUCUCAAGUUUUUAAUGAAGAGUUUCUAUGACCUUUUAACUUGACCUUUUCUUUCUUCACUGAUUUCUUGUCUGUACUUUGCUUUGAGGAAAACCCUCUUUUUUUAGGAGGUCUCCGAUUAAUGUACUGGCAUAGGAUUGUUGUCUUUUAAUUCUGCUCAUUUAUCUUAGGCACAUAGAGCCUUCAUUACUUCUUGUUGGUUAAUCCUCUUGAGUGGUUAGGCUCUUUUAUUAUAGACUGUCUCCACCUUUCACACGUCAUCACUAUACUCAUUCAAACCUGUCCAAUUAGCCCCUCUACCAACAUGGCAGUCUUUUACCCCUUCACUCAGCCUCUUUUCUUUGGCCACUACCCAAGGGGCUCCUUCUCCCAGCUACAGAACCAUUAGGAUAUACUCUUAUUCCUAUCUUAGCUAUUUAGUGAGUGAUUUUUAUACAUUUUACCCUAACAAACUGCUGGUUAUUUUUAAUUGCUUUCUAGUAAAUGCUGGAAUGCUCUGAUAAUAGUCAACAAAGUCAAGAUCAAACAGAUCUUACUGCUUCCUGGUGGUCUUUAUAUGGUGGGUAUUGAGCAACAAUAAUGUAUGCUCUGAAUAAACUGACAAUGUGGAAAAUGGAGUAGAAGGGAUACAAUGAUCAAACUUUUAAUUUGAAAAAAGUUUCUAUGGAAAAAAAAUAUUGCUAUCAAUAAUAAUAUAGAUGUAGCUGAAAGAGCAGUAGAGAGGAGAUAGGAGAGCUAGUCCUGAUUCUACCCUUAAUUUACCUUGAGCAUAUUUUUUAAACCCCUAACUUUUGUUUCAGAAUCCAAACUAAAUAUUAGUUCUGAGUCAAGGGUAAGGAAGGGCUAGGCAAUUGAGGUUUAGUUACUUGUCCAGGGUCACACAGGUAGGAAGUGUCCACUUUCCUGCUUUAGGUAUAUUUUAAAAAUCAAGCAAGUAAGCAAGCAAACAAGGUAGCAAUGCUUAUUUAGAAUGCUUGCAUUUACUAAGUGCUCACUUAACACAACUGAGGUACUGGGUAAAGCACAGAGAUUAUAAAUAAAAAUAGUGAUCUGCCUAUAUUAGGUAGAUCCAACAUAUUCAUAGGUAAAUACAGAAUAUAAACAACAAAAAUGUGAGUGGCAGUGAAGGUGACACUGGCAUCCAGGGGAAUAGGUAAGGCAACUUUUUUAUUUGUUUCCCAACAGAUUUUUAUUUCCAUUGACAAUAUUGGCAAUGAUAGAGGACUAAUUCAGGAAAAUAGAUCACCUUAAAUACAACAGAGAGAGAACUCAUUAUCAAGUAGAAGCCUUGGUCACCCAACUUCUUAACAUAAAAAAGGAGGGGGAAGUUAAAUUAAAUAAGUUAAAUUAAAUUAAAUUGAAAUUGAAAUUAUUUGUACUUAAAUACAUUAAAUAAAGUUCACCUUGCCAGACUCCAUUACAAAAGGUCUUUCCUUAUUGUCACAAAUGAAAUUUUACCCAUUUAUCAUAGAAGAACCUCAAAAUCUCCAUCUGCUCCCCGUUACAUUCAAGACAUUAAGACAUGUUUUCUUUUAAAAUUUUAGAUUAAAAAACCUUCACAAACAGAGUAGAAUUCACUGGAAAAUGUGCUUUGUUACAGUGAUUUUAAAUCAUCCUUUAAGCCUACCACUGGUCAAUUCUGACAAAAUUGAGGGAGGUGACACUGAGCUGAGCUUUGAAGGGAUCUACUUGAUUUUAGUUUCAGAGGUGAGGAAGAGUAUUUCAAUAAUGAGAUGAUUUGAACAAAGUUGGGAGAUGUACUGUCACAUCUGGAGAAUAACAAAGAGGUUAAACUCUUUAGAACAUGAGCUUGUGAAAAAUGUGUAACUGUUGAAAUUGGAUCGUGUGCUAGUGCCUCUGUGCCCUUUCUCCUCCUACUCAGUCUAGUGAGUCUAUAAAUAAUCAGGAUAAAGGGGAAAUAGCCAAAAAUAAGAUUGCCAAGGGGAACUUCGGAGUCAUGUACAAACUGUACCAUCGAAGGAGCAUAAUUCAAAAAUUGUAUCGUAUAGAACAAAAUUCAUAUCUUAGUAGUAUCAGCAGAAGCCAUCUAGGUAUGGGUCAAGCUCUGGUCAGUUCAAACCAUAAGCAGCUUUAAUAGCCAGGAGUAAGCAACUCCAAUAAGAAUAAAAGUCUGCUAUUUGUCACAUAUUUCAUGAGGGAAGUGUCUUUGUGCCUCUUCAGCUCCGUCCCCCAAUUUCUAAGUGAGCAUAUACAAGAUAAUGGAGACAGAAGGGGAUUGACUUCAAUUGUCAAACAAAGAAGUUUGCAUAUUAUCCUAAAAACAAUAGAGAGACAUGGUCAGGUCUAGCUGGGCCAUUGUUUCUUCAUUUAUUACAGAAAGAGACUAAAUUUGAUCAUCUAAAAUGUUUCUAAAUCUAGA
This is a non-coding RNA of Monodelphis domestica (gray short-tailed opossum), 3727 nucleotides long. NCBI's taxonomy places the organism in Eukaryota, Metazoa, Chordata, Mammalia, Didelphimorphia, Didelphidae. The record is from RefSeq and is a predicted model, not a curated record.